Molecule: ribosomal RNA, 514 nt
Filed under: uncultured bacterium
Lineage: Bacteria
Description: bacterial SSU rRNA
Rfam family: Bacterial small subunit ribosomal RNA
Source: RNAcentral
GUUUGAUCAUGGCUCAGGACGAACGCUGGCGGCGUGCCUAAUACAUGCAAGUCGAGCGGACCAAAGGGAGCUUGCUCCUGGAGGUCAGCGGCGAACGGGUGAGUAACACGUGGGCAACCUGCCUGUAAGACUGGGAUAACAUCGAGAAAUCGGUGCUAAUACCGGAUAAUAAAAAGAACUGCAUGGUUCUUUUUUGAAAGAUGGUUUCGGCUAUCACUUACAGAUGGGCCCGCGGCGCAUUAGCUAGUUGGUGAGGUAACGGCUCACCAAGGCAACGAUGCGUAGCCGACCUGAGAGGGUGAUCGGCCACACUGGGGCUGAGACACGGCCCAGACUCCUACGGGAGGCAGCAGUAGGGAAUCUUCCGCAAUGGACGAAAGUCUGACGGAGCAACGCCGCGUGAGUGAUGAAGGUUUUCGGAUCGUAAAACUCUAGUUGUUAGGGAAGAACAAGUGCCGUUCGAAAGGGCGGCACCUUGACGGUACCUAACGAGAAAGCCACGGCUAACUACGUG